AUGCAGAGGCAUUUGUUGCUGGCUAUGAUGCAGGCAGAGUUAAGGUCUGAGGAAGGAGAGGAAGAAGAGCCUGUAUAUAUGGUGGUGGCCAAGGUAUCGUUGGAGGAUGGUGAGGCCAAGAGUCAGGCAGUAACUGACAAUUGCUGGUCAAAUGGCAAUAUCAUCAUGAUAACUAAGCUGGAGUCAUACAGGAUUACAGCCAGGGUACGUAGCGAGUUGCCAUCAGAAGCAGAGCAGUCUGAGACAGAAUUGCAAGAUGAGGUAAGACCCCUUAUGGCAUUUUACAAGAAAUUGAUGCAAAAUUAUAAGGGCUUAAAUACAUUUAUAUGUUUGUUCAUAGUAACAGGGAUCAUAGAUGAGACGGAGAGACAGACAAUGCCCAACAGCAUGGUCACUAGGAAUGAUGACAUUUCAGAAACAGAAGAGGGGGUGAUCUAG
Molecule: long non-coding RNA, 438 nt
Filed under: Chrysemys picta bellii (western painted turtle)
Lineage: Eukaryota; Metazoa; Chordata; Testudines; Emydidae
Description: lncRNA (ENSCPBG00000006572.1)
Source: RNAcentral